ACGCUCGACACCUACGGGAGCAGCAGUGGGGAAUAUUGCACAAUGGGGGAAACCCUGAUGCAGCGACGCCGCGUGAAGGAAGAAGUAUCUCGGUAUGUAAACUUCUAUCAGCAGGGAAGAAAGUGACGGUACCUGACUAAGAAGCCCCGGCUAACUACGUGCAAGCAGCCGCGGUAAUCUGAGCGGGCUGGCAAGGC
RNAcentral lists this ribosomal RNA (197 nucleotides) under uncultured bacterium. RNAcentral describes it as "partial 16S ribosomal RNA". It matches the Rfam family "Bacterial small subunit ribosomal RNA", at positions 328 to 539 of the family's 1533-position model. The record is from RNAcentral.